ACAGUACUGUGAGGGUUCUAGUUCUCAUCAACAUGUAUAGUAUAGUCACUCAUACUGUACAGUACUGUGAGGAUUCUAGUUCUCCCUCUCUCCUGCAUUUGGCCACAAGUUCUUAUCAAAUUACAUCUUAUGUCUUCUCUGGCGAUGCAUCUUGGAGAGUAUCUUCUGGAAUGUCUAAUCCAACCCUGGCAGUCUUCAGGAGAAGUGUCUCCACACCCCACAUUCAUCGCAUCCAGCAAGGACAUCUGGUCAUGUGGAUGGUGGUAAUAAACCUUCCACCUCCACACAGAGAGAAACUCCUCUAUGGGGUUUAGGAAGGGGGAGUAUGGAGGCAGGAAUAGUACUGACAUCCUGGGAUGUGCAGCAAACCAGUCUGUGACUGCAGCAGAGUGGUGGAAUGCCACAUUAUCCCGCACAACAACAAAGGUCGUUGCUGUAAAUGAGAACGUGUUCUCAGUCAACUGAUCUGGUUAAAUAACGGUAAAACAAUGUUAGCUCCUCUCUGGCCUGGGACAUCCAUGGUUGCUCUCUGUCCAAUCACAUUUCUUCCCCUGUGGCGUGUUUUUGCCGGGUUGAAUCCAGCUUCAUCCACAAAGAUGAAUGUAUGUAUAGUUUGCCUGGCUUCCAUCUCCAUUACUCUCUAAAAUACAGUAAAUCCACAGUUUCACAGUACUUUACAUUAUGCAUAGCUGUGUAUGUAGCCUGUUUGGUUAUUGAACAGACAUCUUACCUGGACAUAUUGAUACCAGAGUUCUUUCACACAUUCACUGUUUCUCUCAAAGGGUACAGUGUACAACUGCUUCAUCCUUGUUUAUGUUUCUCUAGGACUCUGGCAAUUGUUGUUGUACUGACCAUAUUCACAUUCCCAAAAGUGAUAUUGUCUACCAGCACUUUGUCCCGAAUUUCCUGCAGUUUUAUUGCAUUGUUGCCAAUUACCAUGUCAACAAUGACAAUUUCCUGUGCAUCUGAUAAUAUUCUGCCUCUCCCUCCUGUGGGAGGCAACGUUUGGAUCCUACUGAAAAACACCAAACAAUCAAUAUAUUUCUAAAUGCCAGUACAUGUAAAAAUGUGAACAUACUGUAUUGUACUGUAGUAUGUAGUUCAAUUAUCACUGAAGGAUACACAUCUCACCUGUUGUUUUGCUGGAAAAUUUGUACUAUUGAUGCAACUGUUGAACGCUGCAGAUUUGGUUGCACUCUUAAACCAGCCUCUCUCAAAGAGAGAUAAUUGUGGCCCUUAUUUCAUCAGAGACCAGCGCUCUUGGUCUUUCUCUCCUUUGUCCUCCACACAUUCUCCCUCUCCCUGCCACUCUUCUUUCCCCACCAACCUGUCUUCCUUGAUCCAUGUUUUCAAAUUAAAUCAUUCUGAAGCAGUCCUCGUUUGUCUGUUUGGUAACGAGACUAAAAACAGGACACUUGGGUAGGCUUUCAGCUGAAAUUACAAUCAGCUGUGUUUGGAAUGAUGAAAUAUUCUGCUGAGAUUUUCUAUAUGUUUCAAUCUGGUUACUGCAGAAAUGCACGACAUUUGCCAUCAUUCUGUUUUGAAUGUGUUUUUAACAGUUUGUAAACACUGCGUUAGCCUUUGAACAUUUGCAGGUGGUGGAGUGUGAAUGAGAAAAGAGUUCAUAGAUUUCGUAGAAUGUGGUCAUUGAAUGUAUUUUGUAUCGAAGCAAUGAAAAAUGAUUCACAGUUUGGUCCACAUACACUUCUGUUUCACUGACUGUGUGAAUAGUUUUGACAAUGUGACUUCAGUUUUGACCAAUCCAUGUUAGCAAAUGAAAAAAAAACUGUAAAUGUCUAAACUUAACUCUAACACUAAGACAUUUGACAUUUGAGAAACAUGAAUAAACAUCUAAUUCUGACUGAAAGCUGGCUGACACCCCUGGCUUAGAGGAAGCAGAUACACAGUAUAUGCUUCCUCUAAGCCAAGGGUGUCAAACUUGUUCCAUGGAGAGCCGAGCAUCUGAGGGUUUUUGUUUUUUCUUUUAAUUAAAACCUAGACAACCAGGUGAGGAGAGUUAGUGACCUUAAUUCAUCAGUCAAGUAAAAGGGAGGAGAGAAAACCCGCAGACACUCGGCCCUCCGUGGAAUGAGUUUGACACGUGCUCUAAGAGAUGAUCUGAGGACACAUGUCAAGAUGGAUGAAAGAAAGAUGAAAGGAAAUGAAGAAAAAGAGAGCAAGAGAGAGAGACAGAGAGACAGAUAGAGACAGAGACAGAGAGAAAGAGAGAGAGAGACAGAGACAGAGACAGAGAGAGACUUCCUGUCUGACUGACGUGCCCAAAUUACACUGUCUGUUACUCAGGCCCAGAAGCCAGGAUAUGUAUAUAAUUGGUACCAUUGAAUAGAAAACACUUUGAAGUUUGUAGAAAUGUUAGAACAAUGUAUGAGACUAUAACACAAUUGAUAUGGUAUGACAAAAUCCAAAGAAAAACCAACCAGAAUAAAAACAAAUUGAGAGUCCAUGCACUUCCAUUGGCACGUAUAGGGUCAUAUCGAAAUCCACUUCCCAGAUUGCAAUUCCUAUGACUUCCACUAGAUGUCAACAGUCUUUGUUCAAAGUUUCAGGCUUGUUUCUUCCCAAACGAGAAAGAAUUUUGAGUUUUGGUACUGGGUGUCGGAGUUGGAAAUCAGUCUGUGUGCGCGCGACGAAGAGGACUCGCACUUGGUAAUUUAGCUUUUCUAUUGAACAUACUUCUUUCCGUAUUAAAUAUUAUAGUUUAUUUACAUUUAGGGUACCUGAGGAUUUAAUAGAAACAUAUUUUGACUUGUUUUAACAAAUUUUAGCGGUAGCUUUUUGGAUUCCUUUCUAUGCAUGUUGAACGAGUGGAUUACUCAAAUCGAUGGGGCCAACUAAACAGACUUUGUCGGAUAUAAAGAAGGAUUUUAUCUAACAAAAUGAACAUGCAUGUUGUAGCUGGGACCCUUUGGAUUGCAAAUCAGAGGAAGAUUUUCAAAAACUAAGUGAAUAUUUAAUCGCUAUUUGUGAUUUUAUGAAGCCUGUGCUGCUUGAAAAAUAUUUUGAUGUGGGCCGCCGUCCUCAAACAAUUGUAUGGCAUGCUUUCGCUGUAAAGCCUAUUGUAAAUCGGACAAUGCAGUUAGAUUAACAAGAAUUUAAGCUUUUAACCGAUAUAUGACACUUGUAUGUACCUAAAUGUCUAAUAUCCAUAAUUUUUAUGACUAUUUAUUUGAAUUGCGCGCCUGUCACAUCCUGAUCAUAGAAAGCUGUUAUUUUCUAUGGUAGAGUAGGUCAGGGCGUGACAGGUUUUUUUUCUAGUUUAGAUUUUCUAUGAUGUUAGGUUCUAGUUUUGUAUUUCUAUGUUGGGUUUUGUUUGGGAAAAACUCAAAUUAGAGGCAGCUGGUCAUCGUUGUGUUUAAUUGGAGAUCAUCAUAGGUGUUUUUCCCACCUGGGUUUGUGGGAGAUAGUUUUAGAGUACGUGUAUGUUAACUCUUCGUCACGGUUUGUUGUUUUUGUUUAUUCCAUUUAUUUUGUAUGUAUUGCAUAGUUUCACAGUUCAAUAAAAUAUGUGGAACGAUAAUCACGCUGCACUUUGGUCCGCUUCAUCCUACGACAACUGUGACAGAAUAUCCCACCACCAAAGGACCAAGCAGCGUGAAAUGGACCAGUGGACUUUUGCAUUUGCAUUUUAGUAAUUUAGCAGACGCUCUCAUCCAGAGCGACUUACAGUAGUGAAUGCAUACAUUUCAUAAAUUUUUUCUCCAUACUGGUCCCCCGUGGGAAUCGAACCCACAACCCUGGCGUCGCAAACACCAUGCUCUACCAACUGAGCCACACGGGACUUGGGAGGUGAUACUGGACGGGAAAGGACCCUGGAGGCAGGCUGGGGAGUAUCGCCAUCCUAAAGAGGAGAUUGAGGCAGCGAAAGCGGAGCGGCGAUAUUACGAGGCACUAUACCAACCACGAGGCAAGUGCGAGAGGCAGCCUCCCAAUUUUUCUUGAGGGGGGCACACGGGGAGAUUGGCAUAGUCAGAGUGGAGACCUGAGCCAACUCCCUGUGCUUACCGUGGGGAGCGAGUGACGAAGCAAGCACCGUGUUAUGCGGUGAUGCGCACAGUGUCGCCAGUGCACAUUCACAGCCCUGUGCGAUCUGUGCCCACGCCCCGCAUUUGUCGAGCUAGGUUGAGCAUUCAGGCAGGAAGGAUGGUGCCAGCUCAGUGCUCCUGGUCUCCAGUUCGCCUUCUCGGUCCAGGAUAUCCUGCGCCGGCUCUGCGCACUGUCGCCCGUGCGUAUUCACAGCCCCGCGUUUGCCAGGCAAAAGUAAGCAUCCAGCCAGGAUGGGUUGUGCCAGCUUUACGCUCGAGACCUCCGGUGCGCCUCCACGGCCCAGUAUAUCCUGUGCCUGCCCCACGUAUCCGGCCUCCAGUGAGUCUAUCCAGCCUGGUACACCCAGUACCUGCUCCUCGCAUUUGCCCUGAGGUGCGUGUCACCAGUCUGGCACCACCUGUACCAGCCCCACGCAUCAGGCCUCCAGUGCGCCUGCCCAGUCCAGAGCUUCCGGCGACAGUUCCCAGUCCAGAGCUUCCGGCGACAGUUCCCAGUCCAGAGCUUCCGGCGACAGUUCCCAGUCCAGAGCUUCCGGCGACAUUUUACAGUCCGGAACCUCCUGAGAAGGCCUACAGCCCGAACCUCCUGAGACGACCCACAGUCCGGAAACUCCUGAGACGGCCCACAGUCCGGAACCUCCUUUAGACGGCCCACAGUCCGGAACCUCCUUUAGACGGCCCACAGUCCGGAACCUCCUGAGACGGCCCACAGUCCGGAACCUCCUGAGACGGCCCACAGUCC
Molecule: long non-coding RNA, 4806 nt
Filed under: Salmo salar (Atlantic salmon)
Lineage: Eukaryota; Metazoa; Chordata; Actinopteri; Salmoniformes; Salmonidae
Description: lncRNA (ENSSSAG00000094162.1)
Source: RNAcentral